UUUUAAUAUAUCUAGUUUUUUAAGAAAUAAAUUUAAUUUAGGUAACUUAUUUUAAUAAUUUAAUUUUAUAAAUUAUUAUAAUGAGUUAUUAAUAUUUUAAGGGAUGAGCUUUAAAAUAAAAUUUUAUAAAUAACUUUUAUUAAGUAAUAAUUGUAAGCUUAGAAUUAGCUAUCAAUAGAAAUUAUGUUUUAAUUUAUUUUUUAAUUAAUAUUAUUUAUUAUUUAUUUUAAAUUUUUUAUUAAAAUAUAAAUUUUAAUCUUUUAAAUUUAUUAAUAAUGAUAAAAUUAGUAAAUUAAAUAAUUAUAUAAAUAAAUCUAUAUUUUGAUUGGUUUUUAUAAUUAAUUCGGCAAAUUUUGUGCUCACCUGUUUAUCAAAAACAUGUCUUUUUGGUUAAUUAAUAUAAAGUCUGACCUGCCCACUGAAUAUAUUUUGAAGGGCCGCAGUAUUUUGACUGCGCAAAGGUAGCAUAAUCAUUAGUCUUUUAAUUGAAGGCUGGUAUGAAUGGUUGGAUGAGGUACAAGCUGUGUCAUAAAAAUUAUUUUUUGAAUUUACCUUUUUAGUCAAAAGGCUAAAAUAAAGUUAAAAGACGAGAAGACCCUAUAGAGCUUUAUAUAAUUUAUAUUUAAAUUAUUAAGAUUUUUUAAAUUUAAUUAUAUUAUUAUAUUUUGUUGGGGUGACAAUAAAAUUUAUAAAACUUUUAUUUUUAUUAAUCAUUUAUUUAUGUUUAUAUGAUCCAGUUUUAUUGAUUAUAAAUUUAAGUUACCUUAGGGAUAACAGCGUAAUUUUUUUUGAGAGUUCUUAUCGACAAAAAAGAUUGCGACCUCGAUGUUGGAUUAAGACGAAUUUUGGGUGUACAAGUGCUAAGUUUAAGUCUGUUCGACUUUUAAACUCUCACAU
RNAcentral lists this ribosomal RNA (897 nucleotides) under Simulium fenestratum. Its description in RNAcentral is "partial 16S ribosomal RNA". The stretch from base 355 to 519 matches the Rfam family "Archaeal large subunit ribosomal RNA", at positions 1886 to 2093 of the family's 2987-position model. Lineage: Eukaryota; Metazoa; Arthropoda; Insecta; Diptera; Simuliidae. The record is from RNAcentral.